AGAGUUUGAUCCUGGCUCAGGAUGAAUUCUAGCGGCAGGCUUAACACAUGCAAGUCGAGGGGCAGCGGGGAGGAAGCUUGCUUUCUCCGCCGGCGACCGGCGCACGGGUGAGUAACACGUAUGCAACCUGCCCCUGUCAGGGGGACAACCAGCCGAAAGGCGGGCUAAACCCGCGUACAUGCCACCGGGGCAUCCCGGAGGCAGGAAAGGCUUCGGCCGGACAGGGAUGGGCAUGCGGCGCAUUAGGCAGUAGGCGGGGUAACGGCCCACCUAACCGACGAUGCGUAGGGGUUCUGAGAGGAAGGUCCCCCACACUGGUACUGAGACACGGACCAGACUCCUACGGGAGGCAGCAGUGAGGAAUAUUGGUCAAUGGUCGGGAGACUGAACCAGCCAAGCCGCGUGAGGGAGGAAGGUACAGAGUAUCGUAAACCUCUUUUGUCAGGGAACAAAGGCGGGGACGUGUCCCCGGAUGAGUGUACCUGAAGAAAAAGCAUCGGCUAACUCCGUGCCAGCAGCCGCGGUAAUACGGAGGAUGCGAGCGUUAUCCGGAUUUAUUGGGUUUAAAGGGAGCGUAUACGGCGAGGUAAGCCUGAAGUGGAAACCCGCGGCCCAACCCGCGGAACUGCUUUGGGAACUUGUUUUUGCUGGAGUAUGGGAGGGGGUAAAGCGGAAUUCCUGGGUGUAGCGGUGAAAUGCGUAGAUAUCAGGAGGAACACCGGUGGCGAAGGCGGCUUACUGGACCAUAACUGACGUUGAGGCUCGAAAGCGUGGGGAGCGAACAGGAUUAGAUACCCUGGUAGUCCACGCCGUAAACGAUGAUUACCAGGUGUCGGGUGUCGAAGGACGGCCGGUGCCGCAGCGAACGCAGUAAGUAAUCCACCUGGGGAGUACGGUCGCAAGAAUGAAACUCAAAGGAAUUGACGGGGACCCGCACAAGCGGUGGAGCAUGUGGUUUAAUUCGAAGCAACGCGAAGAACCUUACCCGGCCUUGACAUCCCCCUGACAGUAUCUGUAAUGGAUAUUUCCUUCGGGACAGGGGAGACAGGUGGUGCAUGGUUGUCGUCAGCUCGUGUCGUGAGAUGUUGGGUCAAGUCCCGCAACGAGCGCAACCCCUGCCCCCAGUAGCCAGCAUUUAAGAUGGGCACUCUGGGGGGACUGCCGGGGAUAACCCGGAGGAAGGCGGGGAUGACGUCAAAUCAUCAUGCCCCUUAUGGCCGGGGCUACACACGUGCUACAAUGGCGUAAACAAAGGGAAGCGAGCGUGUGAAUGUAAGCAAAUCUCAAAAAUAACGUCUCAGUUCGGAUUGUAGUCUGCAACUCGACUACAUGAAGCUGGAAUCGCUAGUAAUCGCGAAUCAGCAUGUCGCGGUGAAUACGUUCCCGGGUCUUGUACUCACCGCCCGUCAAG
Molecule: ribosomal RNA, 1411 nt
Filed under: uncultured bacterium
Lineage: Bacteria
Description: partial 16S ribosomal RNA
Rfam family: Bacterial small subunit ribosomal RNA
Source: RNAcentral